Molecule: transfer RNA, 71 nt
Filed under: Plecotus auritus (brown big-eared bat)
Lineage: Eukaryota; Metazoa; Chordata; Mammalia; Chiroptera; Vespertilionidae
Description: tRNA-Thr
Source: RNAcentral
GUCUAUGUAGUAUAUUAAUUACACUGGUCUUGUAAGCCAGAAAAGGGAGAGAACCCCCUCCCCAAAGACUC